Molecule: small nuclear RNA, 107 nt
Organism: Salvia hispanica
Lineage: Eukaryota; Viridiplantae; Streptophyta; Magnoliopsida; Lamiales; Lamiaceae
Source: RefSeq, a predicted model, not a curated record
GUCCCUUUGGGGAAAUUCGAUAAAAUUGGAAUGAUACAGAGAAGAUAGCAUGACCUCCGCGCAUGGAUGACACACAUAAAUCACUUUUUCAUAAGUAUAUUAUUUUU